UUCUGCGUAGUUUAGAGGUUAUGACGGGGCCUUGUCAAACAAGCUCGGCCCAGACCCGGGUUCGAUUCCCGGCGCGGAAG
This 80-nucleotide transfer RNA is filed under the name Malassezia globosa. RNAcentral's name for it is "tRNA-Asp". It matches the Rfam family "tRNA". From Rfam's summary of the family: Transfer RNA (tRNA) molecules are approximately 80 nucleotides in length. Their secondary structure includes four short double-helical elements and three loops (D, anti-codon, and T loops). The record is from RNAcentral. Lineage: Eukaryota; Fungi; Basidiomycota; Malasseziomycetes; Malasseziales; Malasseziaceae. RNAcentral also lists the same sequence under 1 other name.